UUGGUGUUGUGGGGCCAUGUUGGAUCCUUCUGCCGGGGGAUCGCGCCAGGUGUUGCCCGGAGUUGAACAGUCUGGGAAGUCUGACCGUAGAGCGUGAGAGUCGUGUAAACGGACCGGUUGCUUCUGGUGUGGGUGUGGUGCCCGAGUAGCGCGGGACUCGUGAAAUCUCGUGUGAAUCUGCCAAGACCACUUGGUAAGCCUAAAUACUACUUGAUGACCGAUAGUGCAUAGUACCGUGAGGGAAUGGUGAAAAGUACCCCGGGAGGGGAGUGAAAUAGUACCUGAAACCGUGUGCUUACAAGCCGUUGGAGCCUUUUGGGGUGACAGCGUGCCUUUUGAAGAAUGAGCCUGCGAGUUAGUGUUAUGUCGCGAGGUUAACCCGUGUGGGGUAUCCGUAGCGAAAGCGAGUCUGAAUAGGGCGUUUGAGUGGCAUGAUCUAGACCCGAAGCGGAGUGAUCUAUCCAUGGCCAGGUUGAAGCGACGGUAAGACGUCGUGGAGGACCGAACCCACUUCAGUUGAAAAUGGAGGGGAUGAGCUGUGGAUAGGGGUGAAAGGCCAAUCAAACUCUGUGAUAGCUGGUUCUCCCCGAAAUGCAUUUAGGUGCAGCGUUACGUGUUUCUUGCCGGAGGUAGAGCUACUGGAUGGCCGAUGGGCCUUCACGGGUUACUGACGUCAGCUAAACUCCGAAUGCCGGUAAGUGAGAGCGUAGCAGUGAGACAGUGGGGGAUAAGCUUCAUUGUCGAGAGGGAAACAGCCCAGACCACCAACUAAGGCCCCUAAGCGUGUGCUAAGUGGGAAAGGAUGUGGAGUUGCUUAGACAACCAGGAGGUUGGCUUAGAAGCAGCCACCCUUGAAAGAGUGCGUAAUAGCUCACUGGUCAAGUGAUUCUGCGCCGAUAAUGUAGCGGGGCUCAAGUACACCGCCGAAGUUGUGGCAAUGAUCUUUUUGGAUUGUUGGGUAGGGGAGCGUCGUGUGGCCGUUGAAGCUGCGGUGUAAACCAGUGGUGGAGGCUAUGCGAGUGAGAAUGCAGGCAUGAGUAGCGAAAGAUGAGUGAGAAACUCAUCCGCCGGAUGAUCAAGGGUUCCAGGGUCAAGUUAAUCUGCCCUGGGUUAGUCGGGGCCUAAGGCGAGGCCGACAGGCGUAGUCGAUGGAUAACGGGUUGAUAUUCCCGUACCGGUGAAGAACCGCCCAUACUGAUAUUGUGAUGCUAACCAUGCGAAGCAUGAUGUGCAGGCUUUUGUUUGUGUGUUGUGUGGGUUGUGGGGCCCGAUCUUUGGAGGUAAACGUGUUAACAGGUGUGACGCAGGAAGGUAGCCAAGCCACGCGAUGGUUGUCGUGGUCUAAGCGUGUAGGGUUGUCGGUUGUUAAAUGCGCCGGCUGUGUGCCUGAGACGUGAUGGGACCCUGUUUUUUGGGGGAUUUGGUGAUCCUAUGCUGCCGAGAAAAGCAUCGGCGUGAGGUUUUAGCCGCCCGUACCCUAAACCGACACAGGUGAUCAGGUAGAGAAUACUAAGGCGAUCGAGAGAAUCAUGGUUAAGGAACUCGGCAAAAUGCCCCCGUAACUUCGGGAGAAGGGGGACCUUGAGCGUGAUGGGCACUUGCUGCCUGGAGCGUGUAUGGGUCGCAGAGACCAGGGGGAAGCGACUGUUUAUCAAAAACACAGGUCCGUGCGAAGUCGUAAGACGAUGUAUACGGACUGACUCCUGCCCGGUGCUGGAAGGUUAAGAGGAUUGGUUAGCCUUUGUGGCGAAGCUGAGAAUUUAAGCCCCAGUAAACGGCGGUGGUAACUAUAACCAUCCUAAGGUAGCGAAAUUCCUUGUCGGGUAAGUUCCGACCUGCACGAAUGGAGUAACGACUUCCCUACUGUCUCAACCAUGAACUCGGCGAAAUUGCAGUACGAGUAAAGAUGCUCGUUUCGCGCAGCAGGACGGAAAGACCCCGUGACCUUUACUAUAGUUUGGUAUUGGUGUUUGGUUUGGCUUGUGUAGGAUAGGUGGGAGACUGUGAUGCAUGGACGCUAGUUUGUGUUGAGUCGUUGUUGAAAUACCACUCUGGUCAAUCUGGAUGUCUAACUUCGGGCCAUGAUCUGGUUCAGGGACAGUGCCUGAUGGGUAGUUUAACUGGGGCGGUUGCCUCCCAAAGAGUAACGGAGGCGCCCAAAGG
Molecule: ribosomal RNA, 2163 nt
Filed under: human gut metagenome
Description: bacterial LSU rRNA
Rfam family: Bacterial large subunit ribosomal RNA
Source: RNAcentral